RNAcentral lists this long non-coding RNA (525 nucleotides) under Polistes fuscatus (common paper wasp). RNAcentral describes it as "uncharacterized LOC122522809". Lineage: Eukaryota; Metazoa; Arthropoda; Insecta; Hymenoptera; Vespidae. The record is from RNAcentral.
CGCCCUCCAUCCGACCGUUCUCAUCACAUCAGCCAUUUUCCAUCGUUUCUAUUCGACCAUCCUCGCACGAGAGAGACGAGAAGAGGGGUCGUCACCAGACCUCAUCCUCGCACACGUUCGCAUGCGUGUGUCGCGAUUUACAUCUAACCAAUCAUUUUUCUUCUUAAGAGAAUUUAAGUUACACCCUUUUAUCUCUUUCGUAACGAGGUCAGUCGAUAAAACCUCCUACCCUCUCGAGUGAAUUUGUUUUUUAGUGUUCGUGUUACUUUAACAGUGUGUGAGUGUGCGUGUGUGUGUAUGUGUUGUUUAUUUCAAUAUGGAUGGAAGGGUUUUAAUUUGAUUUUAAGUUAACGAUCGGACAUUAGAUUGAAUUUGAAGUGUCUUGAAAAAGGAAAAACAAUGGAAUGGACUAUUAUACCAAUUAAUAUAUUUUUUUAUUUACAAAAUUCAGUUACGUGUCGACAGUGAUAUCAAAUGUAAUUUUACAAAAAUGGGGUUGUGAUCAAAGAGAGAGAGAGAGAGAGA